RNAcentral lists this ribosomal RNA (255 nucleotides) under uncultured bacterium. RNAcentral's name for it is "partial 16S ribosomal RNA". It matches the Rfam family "Bacterial small subunit ribosomal RNA", at positions 524 to 777 of the family's 1533-position model. The record is from RNAcentral.
UACAGAGACUGCAAGCGUUAUUCGGAUUCACUGGGCGUAAAGGGUGCGCAGGCGGCCAAGUGUGUUAGGCGUGAAAGCCCGGGGCUUAACCCCGGAAUUGCACCUAAAACUACAUGGCUAGAGCAUUGGAGAGGGUAGCAGAAUUCAUGGUGUAGCAGUGAAAUGCGUAGAUAUCAUGAGGAAUACCAGAGGCGAAGGCGGCUACCUGGACAAUUGCUGACGCUCAGGCACGAAAGCGUGGGGGAGCAAAAAGGG